Podarcis lilfordi (Lilford's wall lizard) is the source of this 705-nucleotide non-coding RNA. The record is from the annotation of a GenBank genome assembly. Lineage: Eukaryota; Metazoa; Chordata; Lepidosauria; Squamata; Lacertidae.
ACAAUGGCGGGUGGCCUAUCAGUGAUUGUGUGAUUGUUUAUUCGGGACACGGGUGGAGCUGUGGUCUAAACCACUGAGCCUCUUGGGCUUGCUAAUCAGAAGGUCAAUGGUUCAAAUCUCUGUGACGGGGUGAGCUCAUGUUGCUCUGUCCCAGCUUCUGCCAACCUAACAGUUUGAAAGCACACCAGUGCAAGUAGACACAUAGGUACCAUGGCAGCAGGAAGGUAAACGGUGUUUCUGUGCACUCUGGUUUCCGUCACGGUGUCCUGUUGUGCCAGAAGCAGUUUAGUAAUGCUGGCCACAUGACCCGGAAAGCUGUCUGUGGACAAACGCCAGCUCCCUCUGCGUGAAAGCGAGAUGAGCAUCGCACCUCUUAGUCGCCUUUGACUGGACUUAACCGUCCAGGGGUCCUUUACCUUUACCUCCUGAGUUUAGUGGGACAUACUCCCUGAUAGUGGCCACGGGACUGCAGCAAAUGUGAGACAGAAGACACAUAAUUUUUCUCUAUUUGGGGGGGUGGGUGGCAGCUGUUCAAUCCACUUCUGUUUCACACUAUUCUUCAUGUUUGUCCCCACUUAAUCCAAUAGCUGCUUUGUUUGAAGAGUUUUGCACAUCCAUUGCAAGAAAGAACAAGAGGCUAAUGACUGAAUAGUGAAUAAAUAAUUUUACUUUCUACCCCUAUGAGAGAACAUAACAUUAGAGGCC